RNAcentral lists this non-coding RNA (822 nucleotides) under Aspergillus fischeri NRRL 181. RNAcentral's name for it is "Neosartorya fischeri NRRL 181 Bacterial large subunit ribosomal RNA". It matches the Rfam family "Bacterial large subunit ribosomal RNA", at positions 2095 to 2925 of the family's 2925-position model. Lineage: Eukaryota; Fungi; Ascomycota; Eurotiomycetes; Eurotiales; Aspergillaceae. The record is from Rfam by way of RNAcentral.
AGAUCUCAACAUAAAGUUAGAUAUAAAGGUAAUUUAGUAAAUGCCUAUUCUUCUAUUAAAGGUUAUCCUUCAUCUGUAAUAAGAGGAAAUUAUAAACCUAAUUUACAAUAUACUAAAUUAAAUUCUAAAUCUCGUAUUGGAUCUUUUGGAGUUAAAGGUUGAGUAAGUGGUACUUAAUUAACUUUUUUAAUCAUUCCUCCUCCUAUAAAAUAGUUAAUAAAGAUGAUGAAAUAGUCUGAACCAUUUUGAGAAAAGUGGAAAUAAAAGGAAAAACCUUUUAUGAUAACAUAAAUUGAACAGGCUAAUUUGCGCAAGAGAGUACAAAUUGAGUGCGCGGUUUGGCACCUCGAUGUCGGCUUAGCUCAUCCACAUGAAUGCAAAAAUCAUGAAGGGUUCGACUGUUCGUCGAUUAAAGAGCUACAUGAGCUGGGUUUAAUACGUCGUGAGACAGUAUGGUUUCUAUCUUCUAGAGGGAAUUAAAGUAUAAUAAAGAUAGCCCCUUCGUACGAAAGGAGUUGGGUAUAUUGACCUAUGGUUUACCUGUUGUUUAUGCUAUAUAUUAUAUAUUAUAUACUAUAUAAUAUAUCGUUUACUUAUACUUAAGUAAAUUGUUCACAUAGGCAUGGCAGGAAGGCUACGUCAGUUAAAGAUAAGUGCUGAAAGCAUUUAAGCGCGAAGCUUACUUUAGGAUACUUUUAAACGUAGUAGAACACUACGAGUAUAAUUGUUAUAACCCUUCGGAUAUAACGAUUAAUAGGCUUUAGUUGUAUUAAUUUUAAUAUUUUUAGACAUAAAGUACUAAUUAUUAAAAUACUAAAUAUU